Molecule: long non-coding RNA, 157 nt
Organism: Bufo bufo (common toad)
Lineage: Eukaryota; Metazoa; Chordata; Amphibia; Anura; Bufonidae
Exons: 3
Source: RefSeq, a predicted model, not a curated record
AACGGAUUGCUCUCCAUUCAGAAUGCAUUAGGAUAAAACUGGUCAGUUCUUUUCCGGUAUUGAGCUCCUAGGACGGAACUCUAUGCCGGAAAAGAAAAACGCAAGUGUGAAAGAACCUGAGAGACCAUCAGUAUUAGGCUACUUUCACACUCGCGUU